Molecule: ribosomal RNA, 461 nt
Filed under: Streptococcus infantis
Lineage: Bacteria; Bacillati; Bacillota; Bacilli; Lactobacillales; Streptococcaceae
Description: bacterial SSU rRNA
Rfam family: Bacterial small subunit ribosomal RNA
Source: RNAcentral
GACGAACGCUGGCGGCGUGCCUAAUACAUGCAAGUAGAACGCUGAAGGAAGGAGCUUGCUCUUUCCGGAUGAGUUGCGAACGGGUGAGUAACGCGUAGGUAACCUGCCUGGUAGCGGGGGAUAACUAUUGGAAACGAUAGCUAAUACCGCAUAACAGUAGAUAUCGCAUGAUAGCUGCUUGAAAGGUGCAAUUGCACCACUACCAGAUGGACCUGCGUUGUAUUAGCUAGUUGGUGAGGUAACGGCUCACCAAGGCAACGAUACAUAGCCGACCUGAGAGGGUGAUCGGCCACACUGGGACUGAGACACGGCCCAGACUCCUACGGGAGGCAGCAGUAGGGAAUCUUCGGCAAUGGACGGAAGUCUGACCGAGCAACGCCGCGUGAGUGAAGGAGGUUUUCGGGUCGUAAAGCUCUGUUGUAAGAGAAGAACGAGUGUGAGAGUGGAAAGUUCACACUGUG